GAGUUUGAUCAUGGCUCAGAUUGAACGCUGGCGGCAGGCCUAACACAUGCAAGUCGAGCGGUAGAGAGAAGCUUGCUUCUCUUGAGGAGCGGCGGACGGGUGAGUAAUGCCUAGGAAUCUGCCUGGUAGUGGGGGAUAACGCUCGGAAACGGACGCUAAUACCGCAUACGUCCUACGGGAGAAAGCAGGGGACCUUCGGGCCUUGCGCUAUCAGAUGAGCCUAGGUCGGAUUAGCUAGUUGGUGAGGUAAUGGCUCACCAAGGCGACGAUCCGUAACUGGUCUGAGAGGAUGAUCAGUCACACUGGAACUGAGACACGGUCCAGACUCCUACGGGAGGCAGCAGUGGGGAAUAUUGGACAAUGGGCGAAAGCCUGAUCCAGCCAUGCCGCGUGUGUGAAGAAGGUCUUCGGAUUGUAAAGCACUUUAAGUUGGAGGAAGGGCAGUAAAUUAAUACUUUAGCUGUUUGACGUUACCGACAGAAUAAGCACCGGCUAACUCUGUG
This 503-nucleotide ribosomal RNA is filed under the name uncultured bacterium. RNAcentral describes it as "bacterial SSU rRNA". It matches the Rfam family "Bacterial small subunit ribosomal RNA", at positions 9 to 507 of the family's 1533-position model. The record is from RNAcentral.